Molecule: transfer RNA, 78 nt
Filed under: Bacillota bacterium
Lineage: Bacteria; Bacillati; Bacillota
Description: Firmicutes bacterium (anaerobic digester metagenome) tRNA-Asp
Rfam family: tRNA
About the family: Transfer RNA (tRNA) molecules are approximately 80 nucleotides in length.
Source: RNAcentral
GGCCCCGUAGCUCAGUCGGUUUAGAGCGCCAGGCUGUCAAUCUGGAGGUCGGCGGUUCGAGCCCGCUCGGGGUCGCCA